This 480-nucleotide ribosomal RNA is filed under the name uncultured bacterium. Its description in RNAcentral is "partial 16S ribosomal RNA". It matches the Rfam family "Bacterial small subunit ribosomal RNA", at positions 28 to 507 of the family's 1533-position model. The record is from RNAcentral.
GAUGAACGCUGGCGGCGUGCUUAACACAUGCAAGUCGAACGAAGCAUUUGCGACAGAUUUUUUCGGAAUGAAGUUGCUUAUGACUGAGUGGCGGACGGGUGAGUAACGCGUGGGUAACCUGCCUUGUACUGGGGGAUAGCAGCUGGAAACGGCUGGUAAUACCGCAUAAGCGCACAAUGUUGCUGACAUGGUGUGAAAAACUCCGGUGGCAUAAGAUGGACCCGCGUCUGAUUAGCUAGUUGGUGAGAUAACAGCCCACCAAGGCGACGAUCAGUAGCCGACCUGAGAGGGUGACCGGCCACAUUGGGACUGAGACACGGCCCAGACUCCUACGGGAGGCAGCAGUGGGGAAUAUUGCACAAUGGAGGAAACUCUGAUGCAGCGACGCCGCGUGAGUGAAGAAGUAAUUCGUUAUGUAAAGCUCUAUCAGCAGGGAAGAUAGUGACGGUACCUGACUAAGAAGCUCCGGCUAAAUACGUG